Felis catus (domestic cat) is the source of this 603-nucleotide long non-coding RNA. RefSeq lists it as uncharacterized. The transcript has 3 exons. Lineage: Eukaryota; Metazoa; Chordata; Mammalia; Carnivora; Felidae. The record is from RefSeq and is a predicted model, not a curated record.
UGCUCUUAUUGCUCCGAAAUCUAAAAGUUUUGGAAUCUGUGAGCUAGGAACUGUAGAAAAUAUGUUUGGGUCAUCUAAAUCACAAUAUUGCUAUUUGCAUGCAAGGCAGGCCUGACUUCCCAGCGCCGUCCACAGGACCGUAGGAAGCAGAGCUGGAUCUUCCUGUCCAGGCCCGCUCAGAAAUACAGCCAAGUAGUGGAGGUGAAUAAUGAAAAGGCCAUAAGAAAAUGAAGGAGGAAAAGGGCAAACAUAAAGGGAGGAAGAGAAAAGGCCAAGGAUGGAAUCACCGAGAAAGGAGGAAGAUGAACCUGAAUAAUCAUAACUGGUCUUGGGGUACCUGGGUGGCUCAGUCAUUUGAGCAUCCAACUCUUGAUUUCAGCUCAGGUCAUGAUUUUGAGGUUCAUGAUAUCGAACCCAGUGUUGGGCUCCUCACUUACAGCACAGAGCCUGCUUGGGAUUCUCUCUCCCUACCUCUUUCUCUGCCCCUCCCCUGCUCAUAUGCACGUGUUUUCCCUCUCUCUCUCAAAAUAAAUAAACAUUAAAAAACUUAAUCAUAACUGGUCUCUACCUAAUAGGAGGAUAUAAACACCAAUUUAAUAAUAA